This 446-nucleotide ribosomal RNA is filed under the name uncultured bacterium. RNAcentral describes it as "bacterial SSU rRNA". It matches the Rfam family "Bacterial small subunit ribosomal RNA", at positions 29 to 524 of the family's 1533-position model. The record is from RNAcentral.
AACGAACGCUGGCGGCAGGCCUAACACAUGCAAGUCGAACGCACCGCAAGGUGAGUGGCGCACGGGUGAGUAACACGUGGGAAUGUACCCUUUGGUUCGGAAUAACGUUUGGAAACGAACGCUAAUACCGGAUGAGCCCUGCGGGGAAAGAUUUAUCGCCAAAGGAGCAGCCCGCGUCUGAUUAGCUAGUUGGUGGGGUAAAGGCCUACCAAGGCGACGAUCAGUAGCUGGUCUGAGAGGAUGAUCAGCCACACUGGGACUGAGACACGGCCCAGACUCCUACGGGAGGCAGCAGUGGGGAAUAUUGGACAAUGGGCGCAAGCCUGAUCCAGCCAUGCCGCGUGAGUGAUGAAGGCCUUCGGUUGUAAAGCUCUUUCGCACGCGACGAUGAUGACGGUAGCGUGAGAAGAAGCCCCGGCUAACUUCGUGCCAGCAGCCGCGGUAAU